Ictidomys tridecemlineatus (thirteen-lined ground squirrel) is the source of this 72-nucleotide non-coding RNA. The record is from Rfam. Lineage: Eukaryota; Metazoa; Chordata; Mammalia; Rodentia; Sciuridae.
GAGUAUAUAGUUCAGUGGUAGAGCACUUUCCUAGAAUGUGUAAGGACCUGGGUUCAAUCCCUAGUACCUUCA